RNAcentral lists this unclassified non-coding RNA (4683 nucleotides) under Hevea brasiliensis (rubber tree). The record is from RNAcentral. Lineage: Eukaryota; Viridiplantae; Streptophyta; Magnoliopsida; Malpighiales; Euphorbiaceae.
CUGAAUUUGAAAGGAUGGGCCAAACGCAUUACCAUAUGAAAAUUUUAAUUUGGUAGCAAAUUUUCCUUUCAAUAGUAAAAAUAUACAACCUAAUUCCUAUACCAAAAAUUUUCAGUGCAUUUCUUGAACCUUCAAAAGGAGUUUCUUAUACUGCGUUUUUCCAUUAUAUAACUGGUCAGUGGUAACAAGCGAUAAUAAACUUGCUUUGCUUGUUGGUUCAUUUCAGGAAAAUUGAACAUGCUAUAUCAACAAUCUUCCUUCCCUACAUAUACAGCAGCAGCGGGCACUUUUGUCUUAUCACAUAUGUAAUGCAACAUUGUGCUCACAAAAUGUACUGGUAAAACAAGAUUCCCGGAUUGAGCAACUGAUGUAUGUAUUUUCUAAAUUAUCCAGCUACACAUUGUCCAGCCAACUUUCUCAGUUCAAGCCAUAAAUAAAGCCAGAAACCAUGCAAGAUGUAUAGGGACAAUCAACCACCAAAAAAUCUGUGAACAGUAUCAGGAUGCUUGCCUCUUUAUUCUGAUGGUAGAAGUGCAAUCUCAAUUUCUUGGAGUGAUUUUCCUUUAGUUUCCAACACAUUCUUCUUCACAAAAAUCACUGCUAGCAUACAAAAGCUAGCAAAUACUGCAUACAAGACUUGUGGCCCAACUUGCUCCAGUAAUCGCAGAAACAGUAGGCCAACAAAGAAGUUUAUAACCUGUUAGACAUGCGCCAGGUUUUAUCAACAAUAUAUCAGUGGUAGUUCUUUAAGUUUGACAGGAUAAAAACUUCGUGGGAAGGCAAAUCCUAAAAAUGUAGACCAUGUAUGCAUGUUAGUCGGCACAACACAAAUUAACUUAAGCUGGACCACAAAAUUGUAAAGAACAGACUUAUUCAAUAAAUUAAAUUCACAAAUCAAAAAUAAAAAUUCCGAGAUAAUGUUCAAUGUUAUAGAUCAAACACACUGUAUGGAGUUUUAACCAUUUGUAUAAAUGGCAGUUGUGUCACUGCUACACUUUCGUACAUCUGGUUGGGAUAUUGGAUAGUUGCACUUCAUAUCACUAAUGAUCCACAUUGUGGACGAUGGAUCUAAAAUACAAUUCAUAACAGGGAUAGCAAAUUAUGCAAACUUUGAUACAAAAAGUAAUAACUGAGUAGUAAUAUCUAAGUCUGAUCUAAAGUUAACUAGAGUUGUAAAACAGAAUUUCCCGUGUUUAAAUUUUGCACACCCACAAUUGAAAGGAAGGGGAAAAGUGGAAAACCUAUCUGCUGAUAAAAGUCACAAAACCAUAACCAGAAAACCAGAAUAAGACAAUUACCCAAUGCACGGCCAUGCAAACUGCCAUUCCCUUUGCCCUAAUUCGACCUGGAAAUAUUUCUGACAGAAGUAGACUAGGGACAGGACCAGCACCAAGAGCAAAUGUCAAGACAAACCUGUUUUAUGUUUCAAAUAACAGAUAUUAAAGUGCAGGCCAGGAAGAAAAAGAGAAUAUAUUCCAUUGACUAAAGCAUUUUAGGCAUACAACUCUGGUUAGCCAAGUUUUCUAAUCAAUUUUAGAACGAUGCCUUGUUCUAAUGGAUUCAAUUUCAAUCAUACGAUUCUCAUUAACUCAUGAUACCAAAGAGAUAAUGAACCAUCUCAAAGUAAUGAUCAAACUCUCAUGAGCUUGGCUGCUCAAUUGGUUUAUUUAGGUUCAUAUCAUCUUUUCUGCACAAGUUAUGGUGGAUUGACAACUUACAUUAGCAUGCCUCCAACAGAGAGAUAUAAUGCAGCAGCGCUUGGCACAAACGAACUAGGUGCAAUAGCUUGAAGACCCAUUGACACUGCCAUUCCAGAAAAACUCCCUAUGAGAAGCACCUUUCUUCCCAGUUUAUCCAUCAAAAGCGUUGCAAUUACUGAACCUAAUAAGUUGCAAAUUCCAACAGAUACAUUUGCAAUUUUGGAAGGAACACCAGCGCUUUUAAAGACAGUUGAUGAGAAAUAGAAUAUGGCAUUUAUGCCAGAUAGCUGUUGUAAGACAAAAAGUGCAGACCCAAUGAAAACCACUUUAAAAUGGCGACCAUAAAUCAACUCUGAUAUCUUUACUUUUUCUGCAUCAUCUCCUCGGCCAGAUCUUGACAAUUCAGCCAUUGCAGAUUUGACAUGCGAUGCUCCUAAAAGCUUCUCAAACUCAGUCUCAGCUUCAGCACCUCUUCCCCUCUUGAGGCAUUUCCAGAAAAAUAUGUUAGCAUCACUUAAAUAAACAAGGUUUCAUCACAUCAGUGGUCAGAUGAACCAUACUAAAUAAAACUGUCCAGCUGGACUGUUCCAACCGCUGGUCUAUUACAGGCUUUCCAACAAUGUUGAUGACACCAAAAAUAUUAUUCAAAAACAUUCUAGUUUAAAGUGACUUCUGAAUGUGUUGAACCAAAAAAAAGGAACUAGAAGGGGAAAUCCGGCUUCAUAUGCAUUCUACACAUGCUAUGAUCGUUUACACAAGCACUGAGAAGCAAAAAUAUUAUCUUCUAAUAUUAAAAUGAUGAUCUAUAAUAUAUUUUAUCUUGGAUGGAUCUCAUAAUCACUUUCUUCACAGUCAACUGAGAUGCAAACCAAAUUGGAAAACCUGAUUUUCAAUUAACCAUGCCAAAUAACCAUUCUCUGAAGAUUUAAGCCAUUAAGAGUUUGAGCCAACAUUACAUUUAAGCAUCUCUUUGAUGAUAAUAUCUGACCCAGAACUAUUCUUUUGCAAUGAAUGCUUCCAUGAUCAAAAUUUUACAUUAAAUUAUAUGUAGAUUUUUAUCCCUAUAAGCAAAAUUUAAACUGCUGUUUAAGCAAAUUGUGUGUUUGUGUGGUUACACGUGAUAUAUCCAUACUUGUGAUCAAAAUUAAAUAGGACCUAACUGUGCUCAACAAAUACCCCACGCUAUGGCAGAUGCAUGACUAUGUUUUUGUUGAAUACCAUAUAUUUUUAUCCCCAAAAAGAGAAUUUAAACUGUAGUUCAGCAAGUCCGUGUGUGUGGUAACUUAUAUUUAGAUACACUCAUACUUAGAUCAAAAGUCAUUGGGACCAUAAAGCUGAACCAUGCCCCUGCAUAAAUGCAAACACAAGCAUAAGGGGGAAAAAUACUGUUCAAGAAUCAAAUGAUCUAAAGCUGAGACCAGAUAACCUUUACAAGCCAGUGAGGACUCUCAGCACAAAACUCCAUGAAAAGGGCAAGGGCUGCAGCAGGAACAGCGGACAACCAAAAACAAAUGCGCCACCGAAAGUUUCUUUUGCUGGAAUUCCAAUAAACAGAGACCCCAUAAUUCCAAGACAAUUUGCUAUUUGUGUUAAGCUACCAUAAGUACCCCUUACAUGAGCUGGUGAAACCUCUGACACAUAGAGAGCUGCAACAGGUGGACCAAUACCUAUCCCAGUACCAACAAACAACCUUCCGAGAAGCAUACCCCACAGAUCUUUUGUUGUUGCACUCGUUGAAGCCCCAAUUAUCAUUGGCAAAGCACACAGCUGCAAAGCCCUGCGUCUCCCAACCCCAUCUGCAAUGCAGCCACUGAACAUAGAUCCAACAAAAGCACCACCUAGGCAUGUACUUACAACUAGACCUUCAGCCAUAGUAUUCCCACUAAAACUGAGGUCCAGAGAAAUACUCUCUAGUGUCUCAUUAACUACACCAAUAUGGUAGCCAAACAAGAAAGAAGAAAGCGUUGCCACCAGCACAUGCACAAAAGAAUGCCUCCAAGAAGGGUUUCCAUUAUCUUUGCCUGUUCCAUUCAGCAAAUGUACUACAAUCCACAGCAGAAAUCAGAAUAACUUUGAGUAAAUAUAAAGGAAUUACUGAAUUGGUUUAUAAAAAUUAAGUAGCUGAGUGAAAUGUUGUUUGUGUUAGUAGAUAUAUUAGCUCAUUGUUGGUCAUUUUAUGUCAUGAAGAGAAAACUAAUUUUAAUCAGAUCUUUCAAAAAAUUGAACUGAAUUUACCACUGAACCACUGAAAUGGGGAGUACCAGCCAUGGUGGAUGUGGAAACAAUAAUCCCCCUCCCUCAAAUAAGUAAACAAAAAAAGAUUGUAUUUGCACACCGACGCUUUAUUAUUAAUUAAAGCAAACCACACUUGAAUAAACACAACAAUAAUAGAAAAUCCUCAUUCCAAGCAACUUGCACAAUUCUUAUUGCUUAUUCAUAUCAAGUACACCUCCGGUAUCUUUCUAGACUGGACGGACAAAAUACACUGCCACAUCAGAUUAAAUAAUAAUUAAAAUCAAGGCUCCCCACCAAAAUGUGAUUUCCGAUAAAGCUCUGAUUGGCUUUAUUCCGCCAGAUGAGCUAAGUAAGGGAAAAAGAAACUUGCCCAUUUAGUAAAGAUCAAAAUUAUUAAGUGAUUAAGCAUAUAAAAAUUAAGCGUUAUAACGAACUUGAACACAGAGAUAUUCGAUAACACACCUGAACUUUCUUCUCUAUCAUAGGCAUUUAUGAAGUCUCUCGACGGAACACUCUUGUACCUCGAGGCAGCAAUAUCCACAUGACGCCCUCUCAUAGUAAACUUAUAAAACCCUUUUCCAAAAUUUAUCAAGUGGGUUUUUCAGCAUGCACAUAAGGAGGAGAAGAAAUCCCCAGAAAGGAGGGAGAGAAAAGCGAACAGUACUAACGUGCGCAGCAGGUGGUAGUUAUAUUACUCCGGUUUAGUAGAAAGGACGCAAAGAGAGAGAAGAGAGGUAGGAGACGCUAG